GACGAACGCUGGCGGCGUGCCUAAUACAUGCAAGUCGAACGCACAGUUUAUACCGUAGCUUGCUACACCAUAGACUGUGAGUUGCGAACGGGUUAGUAACGCGUAGGUAACCUGCCUGGUAGCGGGGGAUAACUAUUGGAAACGAUAGCUAAUACCGCAUAAUAUUAAUUAUUGCAUGAUAAUUAAUUGAAAGGUGCAAUUGCACCACUACCAGAUGGACCUGCGUUGUAUUAGCUAGUAGGUGAGGUAACGGCUCACCUAGGCGACGAUACAUAGCCGACCUGAGAGGGUGAUCGGCCACACUGGGACUGAGACACGGCCCAGACUCCUACGGGAGGCAGCAGUAGGGAAUCUUCGGCAAUGGACGAAAGUCUGACCGAGCAACGCCGCGUGAGUGAAGAAGGUUUUCGGAUCGUAAAGAUCUGUUGUAAGAGAAGAACGGGUGUGAGAGUGGAAAGUUCACACUGUGACGGUAUCUUACCAGAAAGGGACGGCUAACUACGUG
This 505-nucleotide ribosomal RNA is filed under the name uncultured bacterium. RNAcentral describes it as "partial 16S ribosomal RNA". It matches the Rfam family "Bacterial small subunit ribosomal RNA", at positions 28 to 507 of the family's 1533-position model. The record is from RNAcentral.